GCAACGAAGAAAAAUUAGUGCAGGGAUUCAAUUAUGUCUCCCAUUUUUAAUGACAAUUUUGCUCCCUCAGUAGAUUAAUUAGCAGCAGAGAAUUCCUCCCCGAAAGCAAAUCGUAGCACACUUUAUAGCAAGAAAAGGUACAUUAAAAUGCAGCUGUGUCCCAUUAAGCAGCCAGGCUCUGCAGCCUUCUGACCAGCGUGCCUGCUAGCGUAGGCUGGCCUCCCUCCCACCCUGUCUGGGAAGACUGAAGGAGGCCUCGGGAGAGAUCUCUGACCUUGGCCUGAGAGCCAGAGCAGAACCAGAACUCCCACUUCCAAGCAAACCGUAUGUGUGACGUGGGUACAGGGGUGUUCCACCUUGUUGCUUAGAGGAAUUCAGGGAAGGACCUCUUCUUUUUAUGCCGCAGAAGCAGCCUGGCCCCAGACUGAGUCGAUAUCUAGGGAAAGAGCAGAGGAAACAGAAUAGCUCUGCAAACCUCAGUUGCUUCCACUCCCACAGCAGCCCUCGGUGGUCCUGAACUCACUCUGUAGACCAGGCUGGUCUCAGACUCCCAGAGAUCCCCCUGCCUCUGCCUCCUAGGUGCUGGGAGGCACCUCAAAACAAACAAAAAACCCAUCCUCAUCCAGUUUAGUUUCAUUCGUGUCUGAACAGAAUCAUCCUUCUGUGGACAAGCGGGAAGCGGUUUGGAUGGAGUCAGAUUCCAGAGUAGUCUCCAGACAGCAGCCUGGCUCACCAGUGGGCUGCUUUGCCGAAACCUGACUUAUCCCUGGGGUUGGAGCUGCGCAGGCCUCUUCAGCCAGGUUGUGCUGACACUGAUUUUGUCUUCACCCAGGUACAUCGAACGGAAAGCUUUUCUGGAGCGCGUGGACCACAGGCAGUUUGAAAUUGAGCGAGAUCUCAGGCUGAGCAAAAUGAAACCUUGAUGUUCUGGGGAGAAUUCGUAGCAGCUUAAUUCUGUUGACAAUGUGAGCUCUUCUCUGUGUCUGUGAAAUCUCCAGUGGUCUCCGUCAUGUUUCCAGCAAGUCCCUUUUUCUACGUUGCAGUUUGGUUAAUGUAUCUUAAUCUCACCUGGUUUCAUUUUACUUUUUAAAAUUUGUUUUUAAAUAAACAAAUAGAAGCCCUCUGUGAGGUUGGUGAAAGG
This 1141-nucleotide long non-coding RNA is filed under the name Rattus norvegicus (Norway rat). Its description in RNAcentral is "long non-coding RNA NONRATT014727". The record is from RNAcentral. Lineage: Eukaryota; Metazoa; Chordata; Mammalia; Rodentia; Muridae.